This 1351-nucleotide ribosomal RNA is filed under the name Psettodes erumei (Indian spiny turbot). RNAcentral describes it as "16S ribosomal RNA". It matches the Rfam family "Bacterial large subunit ribosomal RNA", at positions 216 to 2486 of the family's 2925-position model. The record is from RNAcentral. Lineage: Eukaryota; Metazoa; Chordata; Actinopteri; Pleuronectiformes; Psettodidae.
AAACCAUUUCUCCCCCCUAGUAUAGGCGAUAGAAAAGGAACCACGGCGCAAUAGAAAAAGUACCGCAAGGGAAAGCUGAAAGAGAGAUGAAACAGCCCAGUAAAGUCUAAAAAAGCAGAGAUUACCUCUUGUACCUUUUGCAUCAUGAUUUAGCCAGAAACCCCAAGCAAAGAGCACUUUAGUUUGACUCCCCGAAACUAGCGUGAGCUACUCCAAGACAGCCUAUCUAUAGGGCAAACCCGUCUCUGUGGCAAAAGAGUGGGAAGAGCUUUGAGUAGAGGUGACAGACCUACCGAACCUAGCAAUAGCUGGUUGCCUGAAAACUGGAUAUAAGUUCAGCCUCCCGGCUUCUCCAUUCACCCCACCCCAACAGAUACUAAAGAACACCGCGAGAGUUAGUCAAAGGGGGUACAGCCCCUUUGAACCAAGACACAACUUUACCAGGUGGGUAAAGAUCAAAAUAUACCAAGGAAAUAUGUUCUGGUGGGCCUAAGAGCAGCCAUCCAAAUAGAAAGCGUUCAAGCUCAGACAUCCUCUUCCCCAAAAAUCCCGAUAACCCAAUCUUAUCCCCCUAAACUUAUCAGGCCGCCCCAUGCAACCAUGGGGGUGUCCAUGCUAAUAUGAGUAAUAAGAGAGUCACACCCUCUCUCCCCGCAUAAGUGUAAAUCGAAACGGACCCCCCAUCGAUAUUUAAACGGCCCCACACCAAGAGGGCAUUAGGAGGCAAACCAAGUGAACAAGAAAAUCGCCUAAUAAUAUAACCGUUAACCCCACACUGGUAUGCACCUCGGGAAAGACAAAAGGAAAAAGAAGGAACUCGGCAAAUACACAACAAGCCUCGCCUGUUUACCAAAAACAUCGCCUCUUGCUAACCAAAAAUAAGAGGUCCAACCUGCCCAGUGACCAUGUGUUUAACGGCCGCAGUAUUUUGACUGUGCGAAGGUAGCGUAAUCACUUGUCUUUUAAAUGGAGACCUGUAUGAACGGUAAAACGAGGGCUUAACUGUCUCCUUUUUCUAGUCAAUGAAAUUGAUCCCCCCGUGCAGAAGCGGGGAUACAAACAUAAGACGAGAAGACCCUGUGGAGCUUUAGACGCCAGAGCAGACCAUGUUAAACACCCCAAACUAAAGGAAUAAACUGAUUGGAUGCUGCUCCCAUGUCUUCGGUUGGGGCGACCGUGAGGAAAUUAAAAAACCCUCCACGUGGAAUGGGAGCAACAAUCCCUCGAAGAUCUUUCUCUUCUUUGUCUCCCACAACUAAGAGCCACAGUUCUAAGCAACAGAAUAUCUGACCAAUAGAGAUCCGGCAAAGCCGAUUAACGAACCAAGUUACCCCAGGGAUAACAGCGCAAU